CCUACGGGAGGCAGCAGUGGGGAAUAUUGCACAAUGGGGGAAACCCUGAUGCAGCAACGCCGCGUGAGUGAAGAAGUAUUUCGGUAUGUAAAGCUCUAUCAGCAGGGAAGAAAAAAGACGGUACCUGACUAAGAAGCCCCGGCUAACUACGUGCCAGCAGCCGCGGUAAUACGUAGGGGGCCAGCGUUAUCCGGAGUUACUGGGUGUAAAGGGAGCGUAGACGGCAUAGCAAGUCUGAAGUGAAAGCCCCGGGCUCAACCGCGGAACUGCUUUGGAGACUGUUAAGCUGGAGUACUGGAGAGGCAAGCGGAAUUCCUAGUGUAGCGGUGAAAUGCGUAGAUAUUAGGAGGAACACCAGUGGCGAAGGCGGCUUGCUGGACAGAGACUGACGUUGAGGCUCGAAAGCGUGGGGAGCAAACAGGAUUAGAUACCCUAGUAGUC
RNAcentral lists this ribosomal RNA (441 nucleotides) under uncultured bacterium. RNAcentral's name for it is "partial 16S ribosomal RNA". It matches the Rfam family "Bacterial small subunit ribosomal RNA", at positions 338 to 795 of the family's 1533-position model. The record is from RNAcentral.